UCUCAGAUAGUUUAAUGGCUAGAAUUUUCGCUUGUCACGCGAGGGAUCCGAGUUCAAUUCUCGGUCUGAGAG
Transfer RNA from Brettanomyces bruxellensis AWRI1499, 72 nucleotides. It matches the Rfam family "tRNA". From Rfam's summary of the family: Transfer RNA (tRNA) molecules are approximately 80 nucleotides in length. Lineage: Eukaryota; Fungi; Ascomycota; Pichiomycetes; Pichiales; Pichiaceae. The record is from Rfam.